GAAGAGAACAAUUCUCAGACUGGAUGUUGAACAUCAGCUAGUUUCUCCUGUUGAUUUAAACCUUGUUGUAGAGAUGGAACAUUGGCUGGGGAUUAUUCUUGCUGCUCUUUUCUUUGAGUGUAAAGGAGAAGACAGAGUGAUCCAGCAACCAGGAGACGUCAUUACUACUGAAGGAGAGACACUUACUCUUGGCUGUACAUUUGAGACAACUUAUACAGGUGCCACUUUGUUCUGGUACAAACAAGAAGAAAAUGAUUACCCAAAGAUGCUGCUGAAACGUUUCUCUGUAAAAACUGAUAAUUCUAAAGAGAAAGAGAGAGUUGAUGCUACAGUAAAGGAUAAGUCCUUUCCUCUGGAGAUCCAGAAGCUUCAGCUGUCUGACUCUGCUGUGUACUACUGUGCUCUGCAGCCCACAGUGACAGGAAACACCAAAACUCUGUACAAAAACCUUUGGAGCAAAGACAACACAAUACUCCACAACGUCCACCAGAGGGAGAGACACACUGUUAAACUUCAGUGUAUUUUACGAGACAGUGUUGAUUAA
Etheostoma spectabile (orangethroat darter) is the source of this 544-nucleotide non-coding RNA. Lineage: Eukaryota; Metazoa; Chordata; Actinopteri; Perciformes; Percidae. The record is from the annotation of a RefSeq genome assembly.